RNAcentral lists this ribosomal RNA (421 nucleotides) under uncultured bacterium. Its description in RNAcentral is "bacterial SSU rRNA". It matches the Rfam family "Bacterial small subunit ribosomal RNA", at positions 355 to 787 of the family's 1533-position model. The record is from RNAcentral.
UGGGGAAUAUUGGACAAUGGGCGCAAGCCUGAUCCAGCCAUGCCGCGUGAAGUGACGAAGGCCUUUAGGGUUGUAAAGCUCUUUUGGCGGGGACGAUAAUGACGGUACUCGCAGAAUAAGCUCCGGCUAACUUCGUGCCAGCAGCCGCGGUAAUACGAAGGGAGCUAGCGUUGUUCGGAAUCACUGGGCGUAAAGCGCACGUAGGCGGAUUAUUAAGUCAGGGGUCGAAAUCCCGGGGCUCGAACCUCGGAACUGCCUCUGAUACUGAUAGUCUCGAGUCCGGAAGAGGUGGGUGGAAUUCCCUAGUGUAGAGGUGAAAUUCGUAGAUAUUAGGAAGAACACCGGUGGCGAAGGCGGCCCACUGGUCCGGUACUGACGCUGAGGUGCGAAAGCGUGGGGAGCAAACAGGAUUAGGAUACCC